This 468-nucleotide ribosomal RNA is filed under the name uncultured bacterium. RNAcentral's name for it is "partial 16S ribosomal RNA". It matches the Rfam family "Bacterial small subunit ribosomal RNA", at positions 28 to 507 of the family's 1533-position model. The record is from RNAcentral.
GACGAACGCUGGCGGCGUGCUUAAUACAUGCAAGUCGAACGGAAAGGCGCGGCGUUUGUUGGUUUCACGAGUGGCGAACGGGUGAGUAAAACGUGAGUAACAUGCCCUUGAAUGUGGGAUAACUCCAGGAAAAUGGGGAUCAAAUCGGGGAGGAGAUAUUGAUGCAUGGGGUGGGUUGGAAAGUGUCGGCGGUGGUGGAUAGACUCGCGGGUUAUCAGCUGGUUGGUGAGGUAGUGGUUUACCAGGGUUUUGACGGGUAGGCCGCCUGAGAGGGUUACCGGGGUCAUUGCGCCUGAGAUACGGCCCAGUAUCCUAUGUGAGGCAGCAGUCGAGAAUUUUGCACAAUGGGCGGAAGCCAGAUGCAGCAACCUCCCGUGCGGGAUGCCGUGUUACGGGUGGUAAACCGAUUUCUCAUGUGCUGAACCCUGAUUGACGGUAAUGGGUAAGAAAGCCCCGGCUAACUACGUG